Non-coding RNA from Peromyscus maniculatus bairdii (prairie deer mouse), 315 nucleotides. The record is from RefSeq and is a predicted model, not a curated record. Lineage: Eukaryota; Metazoa; Chordata; Mammalia; Rodentia; Cricetidae.
UCAGAUCUGCCUCUCUCCACAGGACAUGAGCUAGUCUGUCUCUCUCCCAUACCCCACCAAGGUGCCAGUCUGUCUGUACCAUGUAUGUGCAGUGCCUGGAGGCCAGAAGAGGGCAUCAGAUUUUUUUGAAGCUGAAGUUACACAUGGCUAUGAGCUUCCUAAGCCCUAUGUGGAAAUUCAGGCCCAUAUUGGAAUGCCAAAAUGUUGUUGGUUGUUUUUACUCUUUGGGGGGCCCACCACCCAGCUCCCAAAUAAAUCACUCACAGAGACUUAUUCUUAAUUAUAAAUGCCUGGCCUUAGCUUGGUUUGUUUCUU